GGGCAGUGGCAUCCUCAUGUAAGCUGGUCUACUGGUGGCUGCCCCUGUGACCUGCUUCUGAAUGGCCAGGCAGGAAAGGUCUCCCACUGUGUUGCAUUUAAAGAAAAGAAAAAGAUGAAUUAAGUAAAAAGCUCUGCAAACAACUCAGUGUAAUUAUUGGGAGAAUAUUUCUCACAUGUUUGACAGAAAACACUACCUGUCCAUCAUUUCCAUGGAUUCCUGGGUCUCACGGGCAGAAGGACAAGGCAGAUAUGAGGAGGAUCUGGUAAAGAACAUUGAUUUUCUUCCCUGGGAUUCUGAAAAAGCUUUGCUCCCCAGGCAUCUUUAUGUGGUUUGCUGACCGAAGCAUUAUUCACACUUCUCCUGCGGCCACGCCAAUGCCACACCCGCUGCACGGUGCUACCAACCUCCUACCCCUGAACAACAGUGGUUGAAUCUCUGACUUGAGCCAUGCAGCCCUUUGAAAGAAAAGCGAUUUAGGAGCUCAGCCCUCUGAGGAUGUAAAGCCUCUCGCAGGUGCUUGCUUUGUCUGUCUCGGUGUGUGGAGGAUGCCUUCUGUGAGGUCCUGCGCCUCUGUGUAAGCAGAAGAGAAAAGGAAGCCCUGAGAGGUGAAUCCACUUCUGGGAGAUCUGACAACGUUCAGCUUUACCUAAGCCAUGGUCAGGAAACCGUUCUGCGUUCCAGGAAAUGGUCGACCGCAAUGACUGGCCUUUCCCUAUAAAAACUUACAAAACCCUCACAGACCGUGAACACCAUGAGAUCAGAGCAUCCAUCUGUAGACUCACAGAGCAAGAAGCGUGACUGCCCCAAUCUUGAAUGGAUGAAUAAUCAGCUGCCGGGUCCACCACUUCUUAACUUCAGAACCGCAGGAAGCCGCGUCAGUCAUGGGGUUCAUUUUGCACACGACAGAUUUCAUGGUUGUCCUUCCUCCAAACCGAGGAACCUAGAUCUUCUCUGAUCCCCAACAAAUAAGUUCCUGGAUAUGAAAGGGGAUACUUUCCUUGGUGGUAGUCCCAAUGAAGACCCACUGAACAUCGUCAGCUUCAAAAUGUGCUGGCUUCUCAACCACGAUAGCCUGAAAUGUACCUGGAAAAUGGGGGCUAAUAUGGAGCUUCACUCUUGUUGCCCAGGCUGGAGUAUAAUGGUGCGCUGUCGGCUUACUGCAACCUCUGCCUCCUGGGUUCAAGCAUUUCUUCUGCCUCAGCCUCCCAAGUAGCUGGGAUUACAGCUUCUGGCCACAAGCAUAUUUCUGUACACCUGAGUUCUGAAAUUUGAGACACAACACAAGAUCCCACACACUACUUGUAGGUACUGCUAUGUGAUUAGAAUAGCUACUGCUAGUCAAUCGCUCUUAAUUUUUUCUGUGGCAUGGACCCCUGUGGCAGUGGAGCUUAUGGGACAUUUCUUAAAAUAAUGCUUUAAAUGCACAGAAUGAAAUACACAGUAUUACAAGGGAAACCAAUUAUAUUAAAAUACAAUUCUCAAAUUUACUUUAAAACGGCGGUGAUAUAGUAACGUAAGUGCCUCCUUUAUUAUUCCAUUAAAUAAUACCACCUAGCAGAGCUCAAAUGACUACCAUAACUCAGAAGCACUGGUGAGCACAAAUGAUAUUUUAAGAUGCCAUCCAAGGCAGUCAGUUACGUAAUCUGAAAAUAUCUAUGAUUUCUCCUGGUAACAAAGAUAUGGAUAUUGCUAAUGCGACUGUGGUUUGUUGCCUACAUUCAUCAUGGAAGAGAAUGCCGCAUUUCAAAGACUGAUUAGCGAAAAUAAAGAUGUAAUUGUUUCCCCUUGCAAGUCCAUGGGCCUCUGUUUUACCCAUGGACUGCUGCUUAAGAAGCUGUUAUGGCUUAAAUGUUUCCUCCCACAAAAAGAUAUGUUGGAGUCCUAACCUCUAGUACCUCAGAAUGUAACGUUAUUUGGAAAUAGAACAUUGCAGAUGUAAUUAGUAAUUAAGUUAAAAUGAGAUCACAGUGGAGUACGAUGGACUCCUGUCCAUCCUGUGGAUAGGAUGGAUAUGUAAUAUGACAGAUGUUCUUAUAAAAGGAGGAAUUUGAACAUAGAUACACACACACACACACACACACACACACAAACAGAAUGCCAUGUGAAGAUGAAGGGAGACCAGGCUGAUGCUUCUACAAGCCAAGGAAUGCCCAACAUUGGCAGCACACCCCCAGCAGCCAGGGGAGAGGCUGGGCCAGAUUCUCCCUCGCAGGCCUCAGAAGGAACCAGCACUGCAAUACUUCCAUCUCGGGCUUCCAGCAUCCAGGGCUUCGAGACCAUACCUUUCUGUUGUUUAAAUUCCUCAGCUUAAGGUGCUAAGUUACAGUAGCCCAAGGAAACAAAUACAGAAGUCUCCCAGGGAGAAGAAAAGGCAGAGACUCCAUUUGACCCUCUGUCCUGUCUGGGUGCUCAUGAAAUGUCUGGAAAAUCUGGUGUUUUAGUCAACGGGGCAACCAUCACAGAGCAGGCGAGACAAAUUCUUAUCAGACCUGUGCAAGUGAGGCGCUCUGCAUGUUAGUUCCAGCUUUGCCAGAGCCCUGUAACCGCAAGCAAGUCACUAAGCUCUUCCGGGCAGUUCCUGCAUCACAGGGAAGGAGUUGGGACUGUGCUCUCCCAGAUCCCUUCCACCUCUCCCCUUGGGGAGCACCUCAACGGGCAGGGGUUCCUAUGGGACGUCAGGGCACGGCUGCCCAGCCCUCCCCUGUGAGGCACCUACUUGGAAAUGAUCACUGGAGGACAGCGGGAAAGGGCACUUAGCGCCUGGGACAUGUGACCUCGCUUCAUGACCACAGCAGAUGUGGCAUUUUGGGUUGGAAACAUACUUGUUAAUUGUACUGCAGGGGCCUUGAAGGCUGACAGCUGUGGUUUCUGGCCCCCGUUCAGCCCUGCAAAAGCCUGCCUUGUACCUCAGGACAUCGUGGAAGGUGACGUCGCCGCCGUUGUGGAGCCUCUCCAUUUCGUAGCACAUGUGCUUAAACAGGAGCUUGUCCUUGUCCAGGUCCACCUCCAGCCUCCCACGCAGGAGCCGCAGCAGGAACUUGACGCGGAACGUGGGGAUCACCCCCUGGGGGGCAGAGCACAAGAAGCAGCAAAUCAUCAUCAGGCCUCGCUGAUUCGCUUGGGUUUCUCAAAAAAAAAAAAAAAAAAAAAAAAAAAAAAGGUGCGAUUUCUCAAAAGCUAGCAUAAUUAGCACCAGAUGUGAAGAAAACUGGUCACCUCCUUGGAGCCUUGUGGAAUUAAGUGCACUAAGAAGAGCAGAGGAUAGAAAACUGAGUGAUAAAUUUCUGCUGGUGCUUCUCUCUCUGGGAUGUCACCACAUUGCAGCAUUUGGAGUGAGGCAUGGGAAGCUCCCCUUCAGCCCCUCAGGACUCUGCUCUUGGUCUCACCAGGCUGAUGCUUGCAUAGCCUGUCCCACAGACUCCGCCUCCAACACAUGCACUGAAUGGGUCAUAAUGCACUCACACAAGGUAAUGGACAAGACACACACGUGUAAUCCUCCUCUUCACUCAGUCUGGAUUCUAGGAACGUCUCAAUGUUUAUUACAUGUUUUUCUACAAUUAAAAGAUAACUCGUGGUGGAUCA
Symphalangus syndactylus (siamang) is the source of this 3585-nucleotide long non-coding RNA. RefSeq lists it as uncharacterized. The record is from RefSeq and is a predicted model, not a curated record. Lineage: Eukaryota; Metazoa; Chordata; Mammalia; Primates; Hylobatidae.